CGGAAUUGACACCCUCAUGGGCUUGGGAGAGCCCGAUUGUCCUGCGGAGACGUUUACUGCCGGAUACUCGAUGGUCGGUUGCUUCGUGUGUCUGGCGACACUCUCGAUGGAGGACAUUGAACAACAUCUACCAAUUUGUAACCAUGAUAACAGAGUUCUGGCUGAUUGGAGUUGGCUCGGACCUGGCUUAUCGAAGAACAAGAAGCAGCUACAGCUGUUCAAAAUCCCACAAGGCUGGUCAACAUGAUAGACAAUGGGCAGGGAUGUGGGUACUCAGACUGUGUUUAUUGAACGCAACACGGAUAAGAUCUUGGCUCUACUAUAUGGAUAACAUCUUUUUGAAGAACAACGGGAAUUGAGAGACCUGGUGACCAGUGACGGACAUUAGACUACUGUAAAAUUGGAAGCAGUUUGUUUGUUCCCACUAACCAAAACAACUACCAUCUUCAUCUCAUGUGCCACCCCCCACCCCCGCGGCAGCUGGAUGCUCAAGGCAAAAGCUGACGGGAAUAACAAUUCUCCCUUAGAUAAUACGACUGUUUGUUAUGACUCUCCCCCUCCUCAUUCAAGGCCAUCACAGUCCUGUACAAAUGAUAAACACCUUAAUAAUUUUGUUGAGAAUUAUCGCUGACAAAAAAAAUGACUUUAUUAUUUAAUGAUACCUGAAUCUGCUAAGAAAGAGAAAUGGUGAAAUGUAAAGUUUCUGAUGGUUUCUGACCAACAGUGUGAAAUCAUAUUCAUUCAAAAACAAAGUGCUCUUAAUGUGAAAAUCUGCUUCCUCCACCCUCCCACCUGUGCUGCAUUUCAGGUGGAGUCCCGCCUCCUUCCAGGAAGCAGCUCACCUGUGUGUCUGUGUUUAGUGUCCAGGUGUGGAGUGGAGCUUGUUGGUGGUGUGUGAAGAAACUUCCUUCUGUAUCUAAUGUCUGUGUCAUGAUCCUGGGUCCUUUUGACCCAGCGUUUUGUGUUUUCUCUUCACGAUUUUGGUUCUGUUCUCUAAUUGGUGUUUACCCUGUUCCCCCCCGUGUGUUCCUGUUUUAUUGUGAAGGUCUGCGUCUUAUGUGAGUGUUUUCAGUUUGCCUCCCUGGUCUCGUCAUGUUAAUCACUCCCAGCUGUGUCUCCCACCUGUGUGUAAUCUCCCUGUGUUCUCUGAGUGUAUUUAAGUUGUAUUUUCUGUCUUGGUAAUCGCUGGUUCGUCUGUGUUGUUUCCCCUCGGUCUCCCUGCGUCUCCCUGUAUGUAUUUCUCCGGACCUCCCUGCAUCCUCAUUCUGGUUUGUCUUAUUAGUUUACCCAGUUUAGGUUUCCGGUUUCAUGUUUUGUCGCCACCGCUGUUUGUACUCACACCCCUGUAAAUAAACACUCAUCUGCACCAGAGCUGCCGCAUUUUGGGUUCUAUUUCAUAUUCCACACGGCUUGCCCCGGCAAACCGUGACAGUACGA
Astatotilapia calliptera (eastern happy) is the source of this 1437-nucleotide long non-coding RNA. NCBI's taxonomy places the organism in Eukaryota, Metazoa, Chordata, Actinopteri, Cichliformes, Cichlidae. The record is from Ensembl.